Molecule: ribosomal RNA, 407 nt
Filed under: uncultured bacterium
Lineage: Bacteria
Description: partial 16S ribosomal RNA
Rfam family: Bacterial small subunit ribosomal RNA
Source: RNAcentral
GACGAACGCUGGCGGCGUGCCUAAUACAUGCAAGUAGGACGCAGUUGCGAACGGGUGAGUAACGAGUAGGUAAGUACCUAUUAGAGGGGUAUAACUAUUGGAAACGAUAGCUAAUACUGCACACUAGUAGAUGGACCUUCGUUGUAUUAGCUUGUAGGUAGGGCAAUGGCCUAACUAGGCAGCGAUACCUAGCCGACUUGAGAGGGUGAUCGAGCAAACUGGGACUGGUAACCGGCCCAGACUCCUACGGGAGGCAGCAGUAGGGGAUUAUCGGCAAUGGGGGGAACCCUUAACGAGCAACGCCGCGUGAGUUGAGGAGGUUUUCGGAGCGUAAAGCUCUGUUGUUAAGGAAGCGGUACUUACCCAGAAAGGGCCGGCUAACUACGUGCCAGCAGCCGCGGUAAUUC